GUAUUGCCACCUUCCAAAUAAGGUGGGACACAGGCUCGUCCCCCUGGGCCUCUCAUAGUGUCCCAUGCCAGAGCAAACCGUGGCCCCGAACCAUUCCCUGGCCUCUGUGCCGUAGGCUGCAGGCACUGAAGCGGGUCGCACAGUG
Vulpes vulpes (red fox) is the source of this 145-nucleotide small nucleolar RNA. The record is from Ensembl. NCBI's taxonomy places the organism in Eukaryota, Metazoa, Chordata, Mammalia, Carnivora, Canidae.